CCUACGGGAGGCAGCAGUGGGGGAUAUUGCACAAUGGGGGAAACCCUGAUGCAGCGACGCCGCGUGAGUGAAGAAGUAUUUCGGUAUGUAAAGCUCUAUCAGCAGGGAAGAAAAUGACAGUACCUGACCAAGAAGCCCCGGCUAACUACGUGCCAGCAGCCGCGGUAAUACGUAGGGGGCACGCGUUAUCCGGAUUUACUGGGGGUAACGGGAGCGUAGGUGGUUGUGUAAGGCCGGAGGGGAAGCCGCGGGCCCAACCCCGGGACUGCUUUGGAAACUGUGUAACUGGAGAACAGGAGGGGCAGGCGGAAUUCCUGGUGUAGCGGUGAAAUGCGUAGAUAGCAGGAGGAACACCGGCGGCGAAGGCGGCCUGCUGGACUGAAACUGACGUUGAGGCACGAAAGCGUGGGGAGCAAACAGGAUUAGAUACCCCAGUAGUC
RNAcentral lists this ribosomal RNA (440 nucleotides) under uncultured bacterium. Its description in RNAcentral is "partial 16S ribosomal RNA". It matches the Rfam family "Bacterial small subunit ribosomal RNA", at positions 338 to 795 of the family's 1533-position model. The record is from RNAcentral.